RNAcentral lists this unclassified non-coding RNA (340 nucleotides) under uncultured fungus. Its description in RNAcentral is "partial contains small subunit ribosomal RNA, internal transcribed spacer 1, and 5.8S ribosomal RNA". The stretch from base 1 to 73 matches the Rfam family "Eukaryotic small subunit ribosomal RNA", at positions 1759 to 1831 of the family's 1831-position model. Lineage: Eukaryota; Fungi. The record is from RNAcentral.
GCAAACUUGGUCAUUUAGAGGAAGUAAAAGUCGUAACAAGGUUUCCGUAGGUGAACCUGCGGAAGGAUCAUUAUUGAAAGAAAUUGAGUUCUACUGUUGCUGGCCUUCUGGGCAUGUGCACGUAGUUCUCUAUUCUAUUCAUCCACCUGUGCAUCUUUUGUAGUGGGCUCUUUCGGAUUGACCUCUGUGUUGGUUUUGAAAACCCACUAUGUUUUUAUAAACACCGUUAAAGCAUGUUUUAGAAUGUCUUUGUUUCAUUGGGACUUCAUUGGCCCUUUAAACACUACAUACAACUUUCAGCAACGGAUCUCUUGGCUCUCCCAUCGAUGAAGAACGCAGC